AGUGAACGCUGGCGGUAGGCCUAACACAUGCAAGUCGAACGGCAGCACCGUAAGAGCUUGCUCUUACGGGUGGCGAGUGGCGGACGGGUGCGGAAUACAUCGGAAUCUACUUUUUCGUGGGGGAUAACGUAGGGAAACUUACGCUAAUACCGCAUACGACCUACGGGUGAAAGCAGGGGAUCUUCGGACCUUGCGCGAUUGAAUGAGCCGAUGUCGGAUUAGCUAGUUGGCGGGGUAAAGGCCCACCAAGGCGACGAUCCGUAGCUGGUCUGAGAGGAUGAUCAGCCACACGGUAACUGAGACACGGUCCAGACUCCGACGGUAGGCAGCAGUGGGGAAUAUUGGACAAUGGGGGCAAGCCUGAUCCAGCCAUACCGCGUGGGUGAAGAAGGCGUUCGGGUGGUAAAGCCAUUUUGUUGGGAAAGAAAAGCAGCAGGUUAAUACCCCGCUGUUCUGACGGUACCCAAAGAAUAAGCACCGGCUAACUUCGUG
This 492-nucleotide ribosomal RNA is filed under the name uncultured bacterium. Its description in RNAcentral is "partial 16S ribosomal RNA". It matches the Rfam family "Bacterial small subunit ribosomal RNA", at positions 29 to 507 of the family's 1533-position model. The record is from RNAcentral.